Molecule: ribosomal RNA, 305 nt
Filed under: uncultured bacterium
Lineage: Bacteria
Description: bacterial SSU rRNA
Rfam family: Bacterial small subunit ribosomal RNA
Source: RNAcentral
GCCUACGGGGCGCAGCAGUAGGGAAUCUUCCACAAUGGGGGAAACCCUGAUGCAGCGACGCCGCGUGGGUGAAGAAGCGCCUCGGCGCGUAAAGCCCUGUCAGCAGGGAAGAAAAUGACGGUACCUGAAGAAGAAGCCCCGGCUAACUACGUGCCAGCAGCCGCGGUAAUACGUAGGGAGCAAGCGUUAUCCGGAAUUAUUGGGUGUAAAGGGUGCGUAGACGGGACAACAAGUUGGUUGUGAAACCCCUCGGCUCAACUGAGGAACUGCAACCAAAACUAUUAUUCUUGAGUGCAGGAGAGGAA